GACGAACGCUGGCGGCGUGCUUAACACAUGCAAGUCAGGGGGCGGGGUAACCCGUCACCGGCGAACGGGUGCGGAACACGUGAGCGACCUGCCCUGGUGUGGGGGAUAGCCGGCCCAACGGCCGGGUAAUACCGCAUACGGCGCCCGCUUGGAAGCGGGAGGCGAAACUCGCAAGAGGCGCUAGGAGGGGCUCGCGGCCUAUCAGCUAGUUGGUGCGGUAACGGCGCACCAAGGCGAUGACGGGUAGCUGGUCUGAGAGGAUGGCCAGCCACAUUGGGAGGGGGAGCGGGCCCGACCCCAGGCGGGGGGCAGCGGGGGGGAAUGUGGCGCAGUGGGGGAAGGCCGGCCGCGGCGACGCGGCGGGGGGGAUGGGCCCCUGGGGGGUGAAAACCCCUGUGGCGGGGGAGGACUCCCCCGCAUGGGGGGGGUGGAGGGUCCGGGGGGAGGAAGCCCCGGCUAACUCGGUG
RNAcentral lists this ribosomal RNA (467 nucleotides) under uncultured bacterium. RNAcentral's name for it is "partial 16S ribosomal RNA". It matches the Rfam family "Bacterial small subunit ribosomal RNA", at positions 28 to 507 of the family's 1533-position model. The record is from RNAcentral.